CAGUAGCCGCGGUAAAACGUAGGUGGCGAGCGUUGUCCGGAAUCAUUGGGCGUAAAGGGAGCGCAGGCGGGCAUGUAAGUCUUUCUUAAAAGUUCGGGGCUCAACCCCGUGAUGGGAAAGAAACUACAUGUCUUGAGUACAGGAGAGGAAAGCGGAAUUCCCAGUGUAGCGGUGAAAUGCGUAGAUAUUGGGAGGAACACCAGUGGCGAAGGCGGCUUUCUGGACUGCAACUGACGCUGAGGCUCGAAAGCCAGGGGAGCGAACGGGAUUAGAUACCCCCGUAGUCCCUGUCUCUUAUACA
Molecule: ribosomal RNA, 301 nt
Filed under: uncultured bacterium
Lineage: Bacteria
Description: partial 16S ribosomal RNA
Rfam family: Bacterial small subunit ribosomal RNA
Source: RNAcentral